This 397-nucleotide ribosomal RNA is filed under the name uncultured bacterium. Its description in RNAcentral is "partial 16S ribosomal RNA". It matches the Rfam family "Bacterial small subunit ribosomal RNA", at positions 523 to 918 of the family's 1533-position model. The record is from RNAcentral.
AUACGUAGGUGACAAGCGUUAUCCGGAUUUACUGGGCGUAAAGGGCGUGUAGGCGGUCUUGCAAGUCAGAAGUGAAAUUCCUGAGCUCAACUCGGGCGCUGCUUCUGAAACUGCAGGACUUGAGUGCUGGAGGGGAUAGCGGAAUUCCUAGUGGAGCGGUAAAAUGCGCAGAUAUUAGGAAGAACACCGGUGGCGAAGGCGGCUAUCUGGACAGUAACUGACACGGAGGCGCAAAAGCGUGGAGAGCAAACAGGAUUAGAUUCCCUGGUAGUCCACGCCGUAAACGAUGAAUACUAGGUGUAGGGGGUAUCGACUCCCUCUGUGCCGCAGUUAACACAAUAAGUAUUCCGCCUGGGGAGUACGGUCGCAAGGUUGAAACUCAAAGGAAUUGACGGGU